RNAcentral lists this ribosomal RNA (657 nucleotides) under uncultured beta proteobacterium. RNAcentral describes it as "bacterial SSU rRNA". It matches the Rfam family "Bacterial small subunit ribosomal RNA", at positions 9 to 662 of the family's 1533-position model. The record is from RNAcentral. Lineage: Bacteria; Pseudomonadati; Pseudomonadota; Betaproteobacteria.
GAGUUUGAUCCUGGCUCAGAUUGAACGCUGGCGGAAUGCUUUACACAUGCAAGUCGAGCGGCAGCGCGGGGCAACCUGGCGGCGAGCGGCGAACGGGUGAGUAAUGCAUCGGAACAUGUCCAUGUCGUGGGGGAUAGCCCGGCGAAAGCCGGAUUAAUACCGCAUACGCCCGAGAGGGGAAAGUGGGGGACCGCAAGGCCUCACGCGAUUGGGUUGGCCGAUGUCCGAUUAGCUAGUUGGCGGGGUAAGAGCCCACCAAGGCGAUGAUCGGUAGCUGGUCUGAGAGGAUGAUCAGCCACACUGGGACUGAGACACGGCCCAGACUCCUACGGGAGGCAGCAGUGGGGAAUUUUGGACAAUGGGGGCAACCCUGAUCCAGCCAUUCCGCGUGAGUGAAGAAGGCCUUCGGGUUGUAAAGCUCUUUUGUCCGGAACGAAACGGUGCUCGUGAAUAUCGAGCGCUACUGACGGUACCGGAAGAAUAAGCACCGGCUAACUACGUGCCAGCAGCCGCGGUAAUACGUAGGGUGCGAGCGUUAAUCGGAAUUACUGGGCGUAAAGCGUGCGCAGGCGGUUUUGUAAGCCAGAUGUGAAAUCCCCGGGCUUAACCUGGGAAUGGCAUUUGGGACUGCAAGGCUGGAGUGCGGCAGAGGAGACU